AGUGAACGCUGGCGGUAGGCCUAACACAUGCAAGUCGAACGGCAGCACAGUAAGAGCUUGCUCUUACGGGUGGCGAGUGGCGGACGGGUGAGGAAUACAUCGGAAUCUACUUUUUCGUGGGGGAUAACGUAGGGAAACUUACGCUAAUACCGCAUACGACCUACGGGUGAAAGCAGGGGAUCUUCUGACCUUGCGCGAUUGAAUGAGCCGAUGUCGGAUUAGCUAGUUGGCGGGGUAAAGGCCCACCAAGGCGACGAUCCGUAGCUGGUCUGAGAGGAUGAUCGGCCACACUGGAACUGAGACACGGUCCAGACUCCUACGGGAGGCAGCAGUGGGGAAUAUUGGACAAUGGGCGCGAGCCUGAUCCAGCCAUACCGCGUGGGUGAAGAAGGCCUUCGGGUUGUAAAGCCCUUUUGUUGGGAAAGAAAAGCAGCAGGUUAAUACCCCGCUGUUCUGACGGUACCCAAAGAAUAAGCACCGGCUAACUUCGUG
Molecule: ribosomal RNA, 492 nt
Filed under: uncultured bacterium
Lineage: Bacteria
Description: partial 16S ribosomal RNA
Rfam family: Bacterial small subunit ribosomal RNA
Source: RNAcentral